GCCCGAGUGGUGUAAUUGGUAGCCACGAGAGACUUAAAAUUUCUUGCCAUUUAUUGGCGUGUGGGUUCAAGUCCCACCUCGGGCA
RNAcentral lists this transfer RNA (85 nucleotides) under Parcubacteria bacterium RAAC4_OD1_1. It matches the Rfam family "tRNA". Rfam says of the family: Transfer RNA (tRNA) molecules are approximately 80 nucleotides in length. Their secondary structure includes four short double-helical elements and three loops (D, anti-codon, and T loops). Further hydrogen bonds mediate the characteristic L-shaped molecular structure. tRNAs have two regions of fundamental functional importance: the anti-codon, which is responsible for specific mRNA codon recognition, and the 3' end, to which the tRNAs corresponding amino acid is attached (by aminoacyl-tRNA synthetases). tRNAs cope with the degeneracy of the genetic code in two manners: having more than one tRNA (with a specific anti-codon) for a particular amino acid; and 'wobble' base-pairing, i.e. permitting non-standard base-pairing at the 3rd anti-codon position. Lineage: Bacteria; Candidatus Parcubacteria. The record is from Rfam by way of RNAcentral.